AAGUCGUAACAAGGUUUCCGUAGGUGAACCUGCGGAAGGAUCAUUACCGAGUUCAUGCCCUUACGGGUAGAUCUCCCACCCUUUGUAUACUAUACCUUUGUUGCUUUGGCGGGCCGCCUAGCUACUGGCUUCGGCUGGUAAGUGCCCGCCAGAGGACCCAAAACCCUGAAUUAUUAGUGUCGUCUGAGUAAAAUAUUUAAUAUUUAAAACUUUCAACAACGGAUCUCUUGGCUCUGGCAUCGAUGAAGAACGCAGCGAAAUGCGAUAAGUAAUGUGAAUUGCAGAAUUCAGUGAAUCAUCGAAUCUUUGAACGCACAUUGCGCCCCUUGGUAUUCCGAGGGGCAUGCCUAUUCGAGCGUCAUUAUCACCCCUCAAGCCUAGCUUGGUGUUGAGGCCUGCUGUAAGGGCAGCCUCUAAAAUCAGUGGCAGUGCUGUCAGGCUCUAAGCGUAGUAAAAUUCAUCGCUAUAGACACCUGGUGGACACUCGCCAGAACCCCCCCAUUUUUUAAUGAUUGACCUCGGAUUAGGUAGGGAUACCCGCUGAACUUAA
Molecule: ribosomal RNA, 550 nt
Filed under: Tetracladium sp. S-16
Lineage: Eukaryota; Fungi; Ascomycota; Leotiomycetes; Helotiales
Also listed under: 1 other name
Description: eukaryotic LSU rRNA
Rfam family: 5.8S ribosomal RNA (bases 208-361)
Source: RNAcentral